GACAGCAUCAAAACACGUAGACAAAGAUCUUGGAAAUAUAGAAGAAAACAAAAAACUAGAAGAAAACAAUCAUAAAUCUGAAACUUAAGAGAAAAAGUGUCAGUCAUCGCUCCAGAGAAUACAUGUAGACCAAUUGAAGCAUGAACGUGGAUUGUAUUUAAACAUAUACAAAGAAUUGACAGCUAUUCAUGGUUCAAGUAUUAAACCGAUCAUACUACCAAGUUUUCAAAGGAUUUUAGACACAGUUAUCUCAAGCUAAAAAAAAAAAAAAAAAAACCCCACAAACUAAUUUUGGCAACAGCCAUGAUAAUAGGUCACCAUGUUGUGUUCUGUUUGAAAUAUUUUUUAUGUAAAUGUCUGCACUGAAGAUUUCUUUUUGUUUGCCUUUAUGUAAAUUUUUUACGUAGCUAUUUUUAUACACUGUAAGGCUUUGUUCUGGGAGUUGCUGUUAAUCUGAUGUAUAGUGUAAUGGUUUUAUUUCAGUUGUUUUUAUGACGCCCUUUGAGCAGGUACACGUCUAAUUCUGGUUGCUAUCGGUGAAGCCUCUGCUUUGUAGCAAGUACCUAGAGCGUAAGAUUGUCUUAAAGGAACACGUCAGACUCCUUUUUCAUUCUUUAAAAUCACAGCAAGGAGGGAGGGUGACAGCUGUGACAAGAAUCAACUAAAUUAUUAAGAAAAUUGAACAUUUAAAAAACCACGCAAAGCCGAACGGCCGGAGAGGGAAUAAAGGGUUCCCACGGAGAAGGCUAAGUGUUGAGCAAGGGACAGAGUGAAAGGUUCCUGGCCUACGUACAGACGGUGGCUAACAAUCCUUGUCUUCUAGAGCAAGCCACGCGUGUUACUGAUCCGUUAUCAGCCGUCUUUCAUGUUAGAGUUAGCAUAAGGAACUGGAAUUCUAGGUUGAUUUUGAUUCCUUUAUGUUAUCCGCUGCCUUAAAGUACUGUACCUUUUCUUCAGUUCAAAAAGAUACCAGUCAGAAGUGGAAAUUUUUUUUAAAAAAGUGGUCAUAUCAAAGCUGCAUUUUUUUUUCUCCACAAAAAUAGAAUAUAUAUAUUUUUUGUGUGUUUUUGUUAACUAUGCUACAGAUAUUGAAUGCACCUUGAGAUAAUUUUAGUGUUUUUAACUGGUACCUAAUUUAUCAAACAGUACAUAUAAUUGUAACAAUGAAAUGUCUUAUGUAUCUUUAGUUACAUUCAAGUUUGUAACUUUAUAAACAUGUUUUAUGCUUGAGGGAAUUUUUAGAAUGGUACUGAUAAGAAAACGCUUCAGGGUAAAUGGCCAACAGAAAGUUGUACGUAAGGGAGAGAAGUUUCAUCUUAGGUGGAAGGUUGGUUUCUGCAAGAAGGUAACAGGCAGCUUUGAUGGAGAGGAACAGUAGAGUAAGCAGAACGUCAGGUCUCCAUUUACAAAUAUCCAGGGAAAAAGUAAGUUUUUAUAGACUGGUAGGCA
This is a long non-coding RNA of Eurypyga helias (sunbittern), 1449 nucleotides long. RefSeq lists it as uncharacterized. NCBI's taxonomy places the organism in Eukaryota, Metazoa, Chordata, Aves, Eurypygiformes, Eurypygidae. The transcript has 2 exons. The record is from RefSeq and is a predicted model, not a curated record.